GAAAGGAGCAAUCCGCUGAUAGAUGGGCUUGCGUCUGAUUAGAUAGUUGGUGGGGUAACGGCCUACCAAGUCGACGAUCAGUAGCCGGACUGAGAGGUUGAACGGCCACAUUGGGACUGAGAUACGGCCCAGACUCCUACGGGAGGCAGCAGUCGGGAAUAUUGCGCAAUGGAGGAAACUCUGACGCAGUGACGCCGCGUGCAGGAAGAAGGUUUUCGGAUUGUAAACUGCUUUAGACAGGGAAGAUAAUGACAGUACCUGUAGAAUAAGCUCCGGCUAACUACGUGCCAGCAGCCGCGGUAAUACGUAGGGAGCAAGCGUUAUCCGGAUUUAUUGGGUGUAAAGGGUGCGUAGACGGGAAGGCAAGUUAGUUGUGAAAUCCCUCGGCUUAACUGAGGAACUGCAACUAAAACUAUCUUUCUUGAGUGCUGGAGAGGAAAGUGGAAUUCCUAGUGUAGCGGUGAAAUGCGUAGAUAUUAGGAGGAACACCAGUGGCGAAGGCGACUUUCUGGACAGUAACUGACGUUGAGGCACGAAAGUGUGGGGAGCAAACAGGAUUAGAUACCCUGGUAGUCCACACCGUAAACGAUGGAUACUAGGUGUAGGGGAUGAAUAAUCUUCU
This 622-nucleotide ribosomal RNA is filed under the name uncultured bacterium. RNAcentral's name for it is "bacterial SSU rRNA". It matches the Rfam family "Bacterial small subunit ribosomal RNA", at positions 202 to 842 of the family's 1533-position model. The record is from RNAcentral.